CAAUAGCGUAUAUUAAAGUUGUUGCAGUUAAAAAGCUCGUAGUUGGAUUUCUGGUGGGAGCGAUCGGUCUGGCGCUUAGCGCGAGUACUUGCAUCGUCUCCGGCCAUUCUUGGGGAGAGUCUGUCUGGCAUUAGGUUGUCGGGCAGAGGAUCCUCAUCGUUUACUGUGAAAAAAUUAGAGUGUUCAAAGCAGGCUUAUGCCGUUGAAUAUGUUAGCAUGGAAUAAUAAGAUAGGACUUUGGUACUAUUUUGUUGGUUUGCGCACCAAAGUAAUGAUUAAUAGGGACAGUUGGGGGUAUUCGUAUUCCGUUGUCAGAGGUGAAAUUCUUGGAUUUACGGAAGACGAACUACUGCGAAAGCAUUUACCAAGGAUGUUUUCAUUAA
RNAcentral lists this ribosomal RNA (383 nucleotides) under uncultured eukaryote. RNAcentral describes it as "partial 18S ribosomal RNA". It matches the Rfam family "Eukaryotic small subunit ribosomal RNA", at positions 592 to 976 of the family's 1831-position model. The record is from RNAcentral.